RNAcentral lists this ribosomal RNA (731 nucleotides) under uncultured bacterium. Its description in RNAcentral is "bacterial SSU rRNA". It matches the Rfam family "Bacterial small subunit ribosomal RNA", at positions 771 to 1501 of the family's 1533-position model. The record is from RNAcentral.
AACAGGAUUAGAUACCCUGGUAGUCCACGCUGUAAACGAUGUCGACUCGGAGGUUGUGCCCUUGAGGCGUGGCUUCCGGAGCUAACGCGUUAAGUCGACCGCCUGGGGAGUACGGCCGCAAGGUUAAAACUCAAAUGAAUUGACGGGGGCCCGCACAAGCGGUGGAGCAUGUGGUUUAAUUCGAUGCAACGCGAAGAACCUUACCUACUCUUGACAUCCAGAGAAUUUAGCAGAGAUGCUUUAGUGCCUUCGGGAACUCUGAGACAGGUGCUGCAUGGCUGUCGUCAGCUCGUGUUGUGAAAUGUUGGGUUAAGUCCCGCAACGAGCGCAACCCUUAUCCUUUGUUGCCAGCACGUAAUGGUGGGAACUCAAAGGAGACUGCCGGUGAUAAACCGGAGGAAGGUGGGGAUGACGUCAAGUCAUCAUGGCCCUUACGAGUAGGGCUACACACGUGCUACAAUGGCAUAUACAAAGAGAAGCGAACUCGCGAGAGCAAGCGGACCUCAUAAAGUAUGUCGUAGUCCGGAUUGGAGUCUGCAACUCGACUCCAUGAAGUCGGAAUCCCUAGUAAUCGUAGAUCAGAAUGCUACGGUGAAUACGUUCCCGGGCCUUGUACACACCGCCCGUCACACCAUGGGAGUGGGUUGCAAAAGAAGUAGGUAGCUUAACCUUCGGGAGGGCGCUUACCACUUUGUGAUUCAUGACUGGGGUGAAGUCGUAACAAGGUAACC